RNAcentral lists this ribosomal RNA (486 nucleotides) under uncultured Glomus. RNAcentral describes it as "SSU rRNA". It matches the Rfam family "Eukaryotic small subunit ribosomal RNA", at positions 569 to 1061 of the family's 1831-position model. The record is from RNAcentral. Lineage: Eukaryota; Fungi; Glomeromycota; Glomeromycetes; Glomerales; Glomeraceae.
AGCAGCCGCGGUAAUUCCAGCUCCAAUAGCGUAUAUUAAAGUUGUUGCAGUUAAAAAGCUCGUAGUUGAAUUUCGGGAUCAGUAUGUUGGUCGUGCUUCGGUACGUACUGUCAUUACUGGUUUCUACCUUCUGAAGAACCUUGAUGUCAUUAAUUUGGUGUCUUGGGGAAUCAGGACUGUUACUUUGAAAAAUUAGAGUGUUUAAAGCAAGCAUACGCUUGAAUACAUUAGCAUGGAAUAAUGAAAUAGGACGUUUGAUUCUAUUUUGUUGGUUUCUAGGAUCGACGUAAUGAUUAAUAGGGAUAGUUGGGGGCAUUAGUAUUCAAUUGUCAGAGGUGAAAUUCUUGGAUUUAUUGAAGACUAACUACUGCGAAAGCAUUUGCCAAGGAUGUUUUCAUUAAUCAAGAACGAAAGUUAGGGGAUCGAAGACGAUCAGAUACCGUCGUAGUCUUAACCAUAAACUAUGCCGACUAGGGAUCGGAUGAU